This is a long non-coding RNA of Callithrix jacchus (white-tufted-ear marmoset), 1469 nucleotides long. The record is from Ensembl. NCBI's taxonomy places the organism in Eukaryota, Metazoa, Chordata, Mammalia, Primates, Cebidae.
UACUUACUAAUUUUUUCCCACAUCUAACUCCUGAUAUUUUAGUUGCUGUUGUGAUUUUGAAAUGUUUCAUUCCUUAAAUUUUAUUUUAGAUCCAAGAGGUAUCUAUGCAGGAUUGUUACCUGGGUAAAUUGUGUCACUGAGGUUUGGUGUAUAAAUGAUCCUGUCACCAGGUAAUGAGCAUAGUACCUGACAGGUAGUUUUUUAACCUUUGUCUCCCUCCCCCCAUGCCAGUGGUCCCCAUUGCCUAUUGUUCCCACCUUUAUGUCCAUAUGUACCCAAUGUUUAGCUUUCACCUAGCAGUGAGAAUAUUGGGCAUUUGAUGCUUUAUUCCUGUGUUAAUUCAUUUAGGAUAAUGGCCUCCAGCUGCAUACAUGUUUCUGCAAGGGGCAUGGAAUACUACAUAACCAUUAUACCAUGGAAUACUACACAGCCAUAAAGAAGGUCUUUUGCCAAUGGCUUAAAACUGCAAUUCCACAGGCUGUACAUGAAGCAUGGCUAGGGAGGCCUCAGGAAAACUUACAAUUGCGACAGAAGGUGAAGAGGAAUGAAGCAUGACCUACAUGGCUGGGGAAGGAAGAAGAGCAGAAACAGGCGAUGCUACAUACUUUAAAACAACCAAGUCUUGUCAGAACUCACUGUCAUGAGAACAGUAAGGGGAAGGGAAAAUCUGUACCUGUAAUCCGAUCACCUCCCACCAAGGCUCUCCUCCAACAUUGAGAAUUACUGUUUGACAUGAGAGUUGGGUUGGUGCACAAAUGCAAACCAUAUCAGCAUGAUUUCAAGCUUUGAAGUUUAUUGAGAUUUGCUUUAUGGUCAAGAAUGUGGUCCAUAUUAGAAUAUGCUCCCAUAUGGAGAUAUACUUCCUGAUUUUUACAUUAUUAUUUUAAAUUCUUCUAGUUCUCAUCUCUAAUCCUGUCAAUAAUAUGAUUAUACUGUAAUUCAUUGAUUCAUGAGUUUAGUUUUAGUUACAUUAACUUGUUACUCUCUGUGUAGAGGCUCUGCUAUAUGAUGAAAACUUGGUGUGCCUGCACCUCCCUCUACUUUGUUUGCUCCCUGUAUUUUUCUGACCUCGGCCAUUAUAAAAUAUUAUUAACAUCUCAGAGAACUAUUCAUAUUUGAUCUCCAUUUCUUAAUUGUGACUACAAAGACCCAUAUGAGAUGAUUUCUAUUCUACAAUCACCAUUAUUAUCCUUUGAUUUCUCUACUGGUACUUUCUGAAAUAAUAUAAACAGAAUGUAAUAUAUUGUCAUACAUACUACCUCACUUAAUAAUUUGACACAAAAUAAUGAAAAUUCUCCUAAAACUAUGAUACCUGAAAAUAAUUAUUAAACAUCAGGUUCCAAUCUAUUCAUUUAUAUACUCCACUUAUUCAAACACAAAAAAGGUGUUCCAAACAGUUGGAGUCAACUACAGAUUUUUAUUACUCUCUUUUAUAAACUACCUUUCUUUUAUUUAUUAAAAUAUACCAG